GACACGCGGCAGUUACUUUUUAAUGACUGAAGUAAUUAAUCAUCUAGAAAUCACUGGAUAGAUAAAUAAAAAUUGUUUUUGUAUUUGAUUUAUUUCUGAGUCAUACGUGUGAUCACAGCCACAGCAACAAGAAGGUUGUUUUGAUUUCGACACGGAAGGCCGAUUUUUAAUUAUUGACGAAAAAAAAUUUUAAUUUUUAAUAGUUUUUUCGUUUGUACCGUCGCUGUAUGGUGUUUUUUUAACGUGUUUAGUGAAGUAGAGUGCAAAAAUAAACAAUAUAGUGAAGUGAACCAGUGAAAAAAGAACGAUGAGCUUCGCAGAUGCUGCUCCUGAUGGAGCAGCAUCUAAAAUGACAAGGCCCCCUAACCUUGAAACUGGGAAUGAGUCAGCACUACGAGGAGAUGACUCUACCCAAGCAACAUUUUAAACUCCUGAUGGUUUUAUAGGGAAAUAUGGAAGUUUUAUAACGAGAUUGCAAAAGCCUUAAUAGCCGUGAAGCGUAUUUCAACAAGACCAUUACAAAAACUAUCUUCAGAGUAUCUACACGACGUUUAUAAAACCUGUUUUGAAAACCUCAAUCAAUUUCAAGAAUAUCUUUAUUUUCCGUGUAUAUAGCGGGUUUGGAGGCCGCUAUAAAGCAAUUUCAAAACCUCGCUAUAAAACCCUGUCAAAAUGUCAUAAAACGUCAAGUGCCAACAGCUGCUCGGAAAACAAAUAAGAAGAAGAGAAAAAAAAAACAAAACCGACGAGAAAUUUGCGUACGAUUUCUGCAAUCAGAAGGUAAUAGCCGGAAAUAUGCCCUGCCUGGCCCAGUCGUCCACAAUUCGGCGCAAUCGCAUCGUUCAGGCCGUUGUACUGAUGCGGAGAUUGCAGGUUCAAGUCCUGUCGCUGAGCCGAGUCCGGAUGUUUAUUGAUUUGCCGGUACCGGAUGGUUUUUCUCACCAGCAACAGAUCCAGAAAAGUCCAACUGUGCCGUCGCAUUAGCCGUUGGAAUUGCUGCGAAGCUGUGGCGGAAUGUGGCCAGGAAAACACCCGGAAAACAAUCUGGGCCGUUGUUCCGGAGCUGCUAUAUGAAACCAGAAUGACGACGAAUGACUAUUUCCCAAACAAGUACAGGGAAUUCGACAGCUGGAGCCGGAUUAAAAGGUAGUGUAAUAUAAAUUGAGUUUUAAAUAAAUAGUGAAUCGCA
Molecule: long non-coding RNA, 1189 nt
Organism: Uranotaenia lowii
Lineage: Eukaryota; Metazoa; Arthropoda; Insecta; Diptera; Culicidae
Exons: 2
Source: RefSeq, a predicted model, not a curated record